GCAGCACACCAAAGUAGAUGGAAAAAUAUUCCUUCUGGAGGAUGAUUUAGCUGAACUGCGGUUCGAGGGAUUUACUGUGAAUGAUAUUGCUAAGCUUUAUGGAGUUUCUAAGAGGACAGUCACGUACAGAUUGGCAGAUGCUGGCUUGAAUAGGAAAUAUUCGGAAUUGAGUGAUGUGGAUUUGGAUCGCGUAAUUGUGGAUAUUUUAAAUUCGUUCCCGAACGUAGGAUAUCGUUACAUUAACGGCCAGUUAAAAUCAGGAGGUUUAACAGUCCAACGCACGAGAAUUCUGGCUUCUAUGAGAAGACUGGAUCCGUAUGGCAUAGCUAAUCGGUUUUUCCAUUUUGUCCUCGCCGCAUUUAUUCAAAUGCUGGCCCAAACGCGCUGUGGCACAUUGAUGGCAAUCACAAGUUGGUUCGCUGGGGAUUCGUAAUACACGGGAUUAUUGACGGUUACUCUCGAAUGGUUAUUUCUCUCGUCGUUGCAACGAACAAUCGCGCAAGUACAGUGCUGCAGGCCUUCCUCGUUGGCGCUGAAGCUUGGGGAGUGCCGUCCAGAGUGAGAAGCGAUUGCGGCGGUGAAAAUUUCGGAGUUGCACGCUGGAUGGAGCAUUAUAUGGGUCCGAACCGCGCCAGUAUCAUUAUGGGACCGUCAGUUCACAAUCAGCGGAUAGAACGGCUGUGGAGAGACUUGGGUCGCGUUGUGAUUAAAUUAUUUCGAUCUAUUUUCAUUCACAUGGAAAAUAUGCAAAUUUUGGAUAUGACGAGUGCCCGCGACAUGAUGGUUUUGCACUUAGUAUUCACGGAAAGAAUACAGAAUAAGCUCAAUAGCUUCAUUU
Paramacrobiotus metropolitanus is the source of this 838-nucleotide long non-coding RNA. RefSeq lists it as uncharacterized. The record is from RefSeq and is a predicted model, not a curated record. The transcript is spliced from 3 exons. NCBI's taxonomy places the organism in Eukaryota, Metazoa, Tardigrada, Eutardigrada, Parachela, Macrobiotidae.